CAGUCGCCGCGGUAAAACGGAGGAUCCAAGCGUUAUCCGGAAUCAUUGGGUUUAAAGGGUCCGUAGGCGGUCUUGUAAGUCAGUGGUGAAAGCCCAUCGCUCAACGGUGGAACGGCCAUUGAUACUGCAGGACUUGAAUUAUUGGGAAGUAACUAGAAUAUGUAGUGUAGCGGUGAAAUGCUUAGAGAUUACAUGGAAUACCAAUUGCGAAGGCAGGUUACUACCAAUUGAUUGACGCUGAUGGACGAAAGCGUGGGUAGCGAACAGGAUUAGAGACCCCGGUAGUCCCUGUCUCUUAUAC
This 301-nucleotide ribosomal RNA is filed under the name uncultured bacterium. Its description in RNAcentral is "partial 16S ribosomal RNA". It matches the Rfam family "Bacterial small subunit ribosomal RNA", at positions 509 to 807 of the family's 1533-position model. The record is from RNAcentral.